This 2251-nucleotide ribosomal RNA is filed under the name human oral metagenome. Its description in RNAcentral is "bacterial LSU rRNA". It matches the Rfam family "Bacterial large subunit ribosomal RNA", at positions 310 to 2317 of the family's 2925-position model. The record is from RNAcentral.
AGGUAAAAAAUCGGCGUGGUUAGCAGAACGAGUUGGAAAGCUCAGCCGGAGACUGUGAUAGCCAGGUAUGCGAAAACGACGCUGACCUUAUUCUGUAUUCUCGAGUAGGUCGGGGCACGAGAAACCCUGAUUGAAUCCGGCUGGACCACCAGCCAAGGCUAAAUAUAGUAUAUGAUCGAUAGUGAACUAGUACGGUGACGGAAAGGUGAAAAGAACCCCGGGAGGGGAGUGAAAUAGAACCUGAAAUUUUGUGCCUACAAGGAGUCGGAGCCCAGCACCUUUGAAAUCGAGUGGUACAAUGUAGGCGGAUGUUCUACGUGUACGUUUUGCAAAGUGAUCGGGAAUCAGAUCAAAUUUACUUCGGUCAGACCAGUGACUUAAGACGACGUCUCUCGGAGCAUAAUUCUGGCAAGGAUACUUAUACCAAGAUAUAUGCGCCAUGGAAGGUUGUCUAUUAUGAAGCCUAUUCAUCACGUAAGCUGGCAUUAGCUCGUGAGAGGCAGUUGAAAGCUUAUGGACAAGCCAGGACUGCUCUGAAGAAGAGACUAAAUUUGAUCUGAUACUCGAUUUCAAAGGUGCUGGGUGACGGCGUGCUUUUUGUAGAACGAUCCAGCGAGUUAAUUUUUACGGCGAGGUUAAGUCAGAUGAUGAAGCCAUAGUGAAAGCGAGCAUUAACAGUGCGAUUUAGUCGUAAGGAUUAGACCCGAAACCAGGUGACCUAACCAUGAGCAGGUUGAAGCAACCUUAAUCGGUUGUGGAGGACCGAACCAGUGUAUAUUGCAAAAUGCUUGGAUGACUUGUGGUUAGCGGUGAAAUGCCAAUCGAACUUGGAGAUAGCUGGUUCUCCGCGAAAUAGUUAUAGGACUAGCGUCGUGUGAUAGCUUACGGGGGUAGAGCUCUGUCAAGAGAUAGGGGGAGCAAUCCUACCUACUCUUAAUAAACUACGAAUACCGUAUGUCUGUAUCACGGCAGUUAGAACGUCGGUGCUAAGAUCGGCGCUCAAAAGGGAAACAGCCCAGACCAUCAUCUAAGGUCCCCAAAUUUACGCUAAGUGGGAAACAAGGUGGAAUUUCUUAAACAGCUAGGAUGUUGGCUUAGAAGCAGCCAUUCAUUUAAAGAGUGCGUAACAGCUCACUAGUCAAGAGAUUCUGCGUGGAAGAUAUAACGGGGCUAAGCGUAAUACCGAAGAUAUGGAUUGCAAUUUAUUGCAGUGGUAGCGGAGCGUUCCUAUCGGCAGUGAAGCCGGACUGUUAAGUACCGGUGGAGCGUUAGGAAGUGAGAAUGCUGGAACGAGUAACCAUAAGACAGGUGAGAAUCCUGUCGGCCGAAAGAGCGAGGUUUCCUGGGCUAUGGUAAUCAUCCCAGGGUUAGUCGGGCCUAAGCCGAGGCGUUUAGCGUAGGCGAUGGACAUCAGGUUAAUAUUCCUGAACUAGUCAAACUUUGUAUGCAGUUAGCGAUGAGAUAGGUGGAGCGGAUUCAUGGUUUAUCCGUUCAAGUGAUAGAGGAAUCUUGAUCGAGUAAAAGUGAACCUACGGGUUUACGAUUCCGCUGAAGGCAUUGACCAGAAAAGCUGGCAUACGCAUGGGUUUGGCUACCCGUACCGCAAACCGACACAGGUGCUCGAGUCGAGGAGACUAAGGCUUACGAGAGAAUGAUUGCUAAGGAACUCGGCAAUACAGCGACCGUAACUUCGGAAUAAGGUCUGCCUACAUUUGUAGGCCGCAGCUAAAGAGCCCACGGAACUGUUUAUCAAAAACUCAGGUCUCUGCUAACACGAAAGUGGAUGUAUAGGGGCUGAAACCUGCCCGGUGCCGGAAGGUUAAGGGGAUUGCUUCACGGUGAGAACUGAAGCCCCGGUGAACGGCGGCGGUAACUAUAACCGUCCUAAGGUAGCGAAAUUCCUUGUCAGGUAAGUUCUGACCCGCACGAAUGGAGUAAUCAUGUGGGCACUGUCUCAGCGAAGGACUCGGUGAAAGUGCAUUGGCGGUAAAGAUGCCGUCUGUCCAUACCAGGACGAGAAGACCCCAUGGAGCUUUACUACAGCUUUACAUUGAAUACGGUUUCAACAUGUGUAGCAUAGGUGGGAGACUUUGAAGCAGAUACGCCAGUAUUUGUGGAGUCACCAAGUGAAAUACCACCCUUGUUGUGAUUGUGUUCUCACGCUGACCGUUAUCCGGUUAGCGGACCGUGUAUGGUGGGUAGUUUAACUGGGGCGGUUGCCUCCUAAAGAGUAGCGGAGGCGUUCAAAGGU